This 371-nucleotide ribosomal RNA is filed under the name uncultured organism. Its description in RNAcentral is "bacterial SSU rRNA". It matches the Rfam family "Bacterial small subunit ribosomal RNA", at positions 526 to 896 of the family's 1533-position model. The record is from RNAcentral.
CGUAGGGGGCUAGCGUUGUCCGGAAUCAUUGGGCGUAAAGAGCGCGUAGGCGGCCCGGUAAGUCCGUUGUAAAAGUCGAAGGCUCAACCUUCGAAUGCCGAUGGAUACUGUCGGGCUAGAGUCCGGAAGAGGCGAGUGGAAUUCCUGGUGUAGCGGUGGAAUGCGCAGAUAUCAGGAGGAACACCGAUAGCGAAGGCAGCUCGCUGGGACGGUACUGACGCUAAGGCGCGAAAGCGUGGGGAGCGAACAGGAUUAGAUACCCUGUAGUCCACGCCGUAAACGAUGGGCACUAGGUGUGGGAGGUGUCGACUCCUCCCGUGCCGACGCUAACGCAAUAAGUGCCCCGCCUGGGGAGUACGGCCGCAAGGCUA